Long non-coding RNA from Pelobates fuscus (common spadefoot toad), 1626 nucleotides. RefSeq lists it as uncharacterized. NCBI's taxonomy places the organism in Eukaryota, Metazoa, Chordata, Amphibia, Anura, Pelobatidae. The record is from RefSeq and is a predicted model, not a curated record. The transcript is spliced from 2 exons.
CCCUGAGGGUGGGGGCACCCUCAGGGCACUAUAGUGCCAGGAAAACGAGUAUGUUUUCCUGGCACUAUAAAUAUCCCUUAAAAUACAUAGUUACUUAGUGGAGAAAUAUUUGAUGGAACUUUACUGCAGGAAUAAGGUCGGGUUUGUGAAUGGACACAUCACCUCAAUAGGUGCAUUCAUUCCCAGGUUGAGCAAUGAUGUUGGCCAGGAGCGUCUGGAUAUCAGGUAAGUUAUAUCUUAAUUUUAUUUUUUAUUUUUUUACAGUUUAUGGGAAGGAGGGGACCUGAAGAAUAAUGCCCUUUAAGGCAUUGUAAAAAAAAAAACAACAAAGGCAAAAAAAGGGUUGGAGUACUUCUUUAACCUUUUUUUUAGAUUCUAUGUAAUUUUAAAAAUGUUAUACCUAUAUUAUGGUUGCUGGCACCCUGUAACUAUUGGAAGCCAAUGCUAUCAUCCUCCAUCUGCUUGGAACUGAGAUUGGCAAUAUAACCUUUUAUUACAGUAUUUUAAUUUUUUAAUUAUGUGGGUUUUACACUCAGCAGCGAGAUUUUGCUGGCUGUAAUUCCAGGCUUUUGAUGGAAUGACACUUAUUGCUGCUGGCAAGGUAAGACUGAUGGGAGUUACAAUGUAGUUAUAUUUGUGAAAUUAUCAUUACACAGCUAUAGGUUAAUACUCCAUAUGACUCCUGGGCAAUAAACAUGUAAUACAGUGAAUCAUUUCAUACACUAACAGUUAUUGAUAAUGCAAGUAUGACUAUUGAUUAGGGUUGUGUCUCUUUGUGUAUUUCUGUUGGUUUCCAUUUGUAAAAAUCUUUUUAUGCUUGCAUUUUGUUUCUCUGUGAUAUACUAUAAUGGUAAGCCGUGUCUGGGUAAAAGGUGUGACUGUGUUGUCAGUUUGGCUGUCUACAACAGACCGAUCUCAGAUAACAACUUGAAUAGAAUGUGCAGAAUAGAUUGCUAUGCAGUUGUAUGUAGACGUUAUUGUGUAUCCUGAGGGAAAUGUUUAAAGAGUCAACAAUCCGAUGCUAUUAUAAAAUACAUUUUGAUAGCAGUGGCUCCUUAGAAUAUUGAUGAAUGUAUAUUAACAUUGGUAUUUGUAUAAAUGGAGGUGUCUGUUAGCCUGUCAAAAAAACAUGUUGUAAGGGAGGACACAUUGUGAUAACUAUCUCAGGGAUUUCCUAAGGUAACAGGGAUAUUAGUAGAAAACCAGAAACAUGUCCAUUUCCUUGAAAGUUAGUUUGUAAUUUGGACAGUAUAGAAGCACAAGGUCACAAGUCAGACAGAGAACAUCUUAUAUCCUUAAAGAAUAUACCAUCUAAGCCACAUCUUUACCAGCUAAGAUUUCCACCUUCCUCCCCUCAUUCUUCUUAACGGAUGGGCACACUGGCCAUUGCCCGGGGCCACGGGCAUAGGGGCCCCAUAGGCUUAUCAACCUUUAGUAUAUUAUAUUCCAGGAGAUGUAUUCAGAACCUUCAAACCCUCUUUACUAAACCGUAUACGUGGACUAGUCACCUCAGUAUUGACAUACUGAAAACCAAUUACUUCAUGCCAGUUUUAAAGCCAUUAUCUGCAAAGAAAUUUUGCAAAUGUUUGUGUUGAUUACUUGAUUACUAAUAAAUCAUUCAAGGAA